CUAAACAUGCAGUCGAGCGGUAGCACAGAGAGCUUGCUCUCGGGUGACGAGCGGCGGACGGGUGAGUAAUGUCUGGGAAACUGCCUGAUGGAGGGGGAUAACUACUGGAAACGGUAGCUAAUACCGCAUAACGUCGCAAGACCAAAGUGGGGGACCUUCGGGCCUCAUGCCAUCAGAUGUGCCCAGAUGGGAUUAGCUAGUAGGUGGGGUAACGGCUCACCUAGGCGACGAUCCCUAGCUGGUCUGAGAGGAUGACCAGCCACACUGGAACUGAGACACGGUCCAGACUCCUACGGGAGGCAGCAGUGGGGAAUAUUGCACAAUGGGCGCAAGCCUGAUGCAGCCAUGCCGCGUGUGUGAAGAAGGCCUUCGGGUUGUAAAGCACUUUCAGCGGGGAGGAAGGCGUUAAGGUUAAUAACCUUGGCGAUUGACGUUACCCGCAGAAGAAGCACCGGCUAACUCCGUGCCAGCAGCCGCGGUAAUACGGAGGGUGCAAGCGUUAAUCGGAAUUACUGGGCGUAAAGCGCACGCAGGCGGUCUGUCAAGUCGGAUGUGAAAUCCCCGGGCUCAACCUGGGAACUGCAUUCGAAACUGGCAGGCUAGAGUCUUGUAGAGGGGGGUAGAAUUCCAGGUGUAGCGGUGAAAUGCGUAGAGAUCUGGAGGAAUACCGGUGGCGAAGGCGGCCCCCUGGACAAAGACUGACGCUCAGGUGCGAAAGCGUGGGGAGCAAACAGGAUUAGAUACCCUGGUAGUCCACGCCGUAAACGAUGUCGAUUUGGAGGUUGUGCCCUUGAGGCGUGGCUUCCGGAGCUAACGCGUUAAAUCGACCGCCUGGGGAGUACGGCCGCAAGGUUAAAACUCAAAUGAAUUGACGGGGGCCCGCACAAGCGGUGGAGCAUGUGGUUUAAUUCGAUGCAACGCGAAGAACCUUACCUGGUCUUGACAUCCACAGAACUUUCCAGAGAUGGAUUGGUGCCUUCGGGAACUGUGAGACAGGUGCUGCAUGGCUGUCGUCAGCUCGUGUUGUGAAAUGUUGGGUUAAGUCCCGCAACGAGCGCAACCCUUAUCCUUUGUUGCCAGCGGUUAGGCCGGGAACUCAAAGGAGACUGCCAGUGAUAAACUGGAGGAAGGUGGGGAUGACGUCAAGUCAUCAUGGCCCUUACGACCAGGGCUACACACGUGCUACAAUGGCAUAUACAAAGAGAAGCGACCUCGCGAGAGCAAGCGGACCUCAUAAAGUAUGUCGUAGUCCGGAUUGGAGUCUGCAACUCGACUCCAUGAAGUCGGAAUCGCUAGUAAUCGUAGAUCAGAAUGCUACGA
Molecule: ribosomal RNA, 1320 nt
Filed under: uncultured Klebsiella sp.
Lineage: Bacteria; Pseudomonadati; Pseudomonadota; Gammaproteobacteria; Enterobacterales; Enterobacteriaceae
Description: bacterial SSU rRNA
Rfam family: Bacterial small subunit ribosomal RNA
Source: RNAcentral